RNAcentral lists this unclassified non-coding RNA (330 nucleotides) under uncultured fungus. Its description in RNAcentral is "sequence contains 5.8S rRNA gene". The stretch from base 1 to 53 matches the Rfam family "5.8S ribosomal RNA", at positions 102 to 154 of the family's 154-position model. Lineage: Eukaryota; Fungi. The record is from RNAcentral.
GAACGCACCUUGCGCUCCAUGGUAUUCCGUGGAGCAUGCCUGUUUGAGUGUCAUGAAAAACAAUCAACCUUGGUUUUGGGGAAACCCUCGAUCUCGGCUUGGACUUGGGCGUUUGCCAUCUUUGCGGAUGGCUCGCCUCAAAUGAAUUAGCUGGACCUGUUUGUGAGGAAUGGUUCUACUCGGCGUAAUAAGUAUUUCGCUGAGGACAUGGCUUCGGCUGUGGCCUUCUUCUCGGACGACCGUCUGCUUUCUAACCCUGCUUCUCCUUUUUGGAGAGCAACUUUUUAUGAUCUGGCCUCAAAUCAGGUAGGACUACCCGCUGAACUUAAG